AAUAUUGGGCAAUGGACGGAAGUCUGACCCAGCCAUGCCGCGUGAAGGAUUAAGGCGUUCCGCGUUGUAAACUUCUUUUAUCAGGGAAGAAACCCCGGCGUUCCCGUCGGGUUGACGGUACCUGAGGAAUAAGCACCGGCUAACUCCGUGCCAGCAGCCGCGGUAAUACGGAGGGUGCAAGCGUUAUCCGGAUUUACUGGGUUUAAAGGGUGUGUAGGCGGCUUUUUAAGUCAGUGGUGAAAUCCCGGGGCUCAACCCCGGAACUGCCGUUGAUACUAUUGAGCUUGAAUUAUGUUGAGGUUGGCGGAAUAUAACAUGUAGCGGUGAAAUGCAUAGAUAUGUUAUAGAACACCGAUUGCGAAGGCAGCUGACUGAGCAUAUAUUGACGCUGAUGCACGAAAGCGUGGGGAUCAAACAG
Molecule: ribosomal RNA, 418 nt
Filed under: uncultured bacterium
Lineage: Bacteria
Description: partial 16S ribosomal RNA
Rfam family: Bacterial small subunit ribosomal RNA
Source: RNAcentral